AGUCGUUCUGCCCAUUGAAUUUUAAAGGCUGCGGUAUAUUAACUGUACAAAGGUAGCAAAAUCAAUAGUUUUUUAAUUAGAAACUUGAAUGAAAGAGUUGAUAAAAUAUAGAUUGUCUUAAUAAUUUAAUUUAAAUUAAAAGUAAAAAUGCUUUUAUUUUUUUAUUAGACGAUAAGACCCUAAGAAUUUUAUUAUUUGUAUUAUUUUAAAAAAAAAUUUAAUUUAAAAUAAUUUUAUUGGGAGGAUAAUUAAAUAAAACUUUAAUUUAAAAUAAUAUUAAUAAGUAAAUUUAUGAAUAUUUUUAAGAUUAUAAGAAUAAAUUACCUUAGGGAUAACAGCGUAAUUAUUUUGGAGAGUUCAUAUUGAUAAAAUUGUUUGCGACCUCGAUGUUGAAUUAAAAUAAAAAUUAAAUGAAGAUAUUUAAAUUUUUAGUCUGUUCGACUAUUAAAAUUUUAC
This 456-nucleotide ribosomal RNA is filed under the name Polybia velutina. Its description in RNAcentral is "partial large subunit ribosomal RNA". RNAcentral also lists the same sequence under 1 other name. The record is from RNAcentral. Lineage: Eukaryota; Metazoa; Arthropoda; Insecta; Hymenoptera; Vespidae.